Molecule: ribosomal RNA, 38 nt
Filed under: Closterium ehrenbergii
Lineage: Eukaryota; Viridiplantae; Streptophyta; Zygnematophyceae; Desmidiales; Closteriaceae
Description: partial 28S ribosomal RNA
Source: RNAcentral
CUGGCCUCAAGUCGGGCGAGACUACCCGCUGAAUUUAA